UACGUAGGGUGCAAGCGUUAAUCGGAAUUACUGGGCGUAAAGCGUGCGCAGGCGGUUUUGUAAGUCUGAUGUGAAAUCCCCGGGCUCAACCUGGGAAUUGCAUUGGAGACUGCAAGGCUAGAAUCUGGCAGAGGGGGGUAGAAUUCCACGUGUAGCAGUGAAAUGCGUAGAGAUGUGGAGGAACACCGAUGGCGUAGGCAGCCCCCUGGGUCAAGAUUGACGCUCAUGCACGAAAGCGUGGGGAGCAAACAGG
RNAcentral lists this ribosomal RNA (253 nucleotides) under uncultured bacterium. RNAcentral describes it as "partial 16S ribosomal RNA". It matches the Rfam family "Bacterial small subunit ribosomal RNA", at positions 524 to 776 of the family's 1533-position model. The record is from RNAcentral.